CGGGACGGGUGAGUAAUGUCUGGGAAACUGCCUGAUGGAGGGGGAUAACUACUGGAAACGGUAGCUAAUACCGCAUAACGUCGCAAGACCAAAGAGGGGGACCUUCGGGCCUCUUGCCAUCGGAUGUGCCCAGAUGGGAUUAGCUAGUAGGUGGGGUAAAGGCUCACCUAGGCGACGAUCCCUAGCUGGUCUGAGAGGAUGACCAGCCACACUGGAACUGAGACACAGUCCAG
This 233-nucleotide ribosomal RNA is filed under the name uncultured bacterium. RNAcentral describes it as "partial 16S ribosomal RNA". It matches the Rfam family "Bacterial small subunit ribosomal RNA", at positions 100 to 334 of the family's 1533-position model. The record is from RNAcentral.